This 485-nucleotide long non-coding RNA is filed under the name Gallus gallus (chicken). RNAcentral describes it as "long non-coding RNA NONGGAT002063". The record is from RNAcentral. Lineage: Eukaryota; Metazoa; Chordata; Aves; Galliformes; Phasianidae.
CCUGGCUGCACAGAGAUAAGCGUGUACAGCAGCUGCCCAGUGGGAUUUUACAGGUUGACAGCGCUUAGCAUGCUGCAUUUAACAGUUUCAGAGCCAACUUUUCCCAGCGAGAUGACACGAGGUGAAAAAGCUACAGGUGAGGUGCAGGUGCUGUGUCCUACAAGAAGGGGCUGCUCCUCUCUGGCCUAAGGCCUGCCUGGAUGAAGGAAGAGGUGAAGCAGGUGUGUGUGAAGGACACGACUCGUGCCACUGCUGCCUGGUGAAGUGACAAGUUGUUUGAUGAGGACUCCCUGACAACUGGCUGGCUGUGCUGCCUGUGCAGGCAGGUGUAUGUGCUGGUGUUGAGCAAGGGACAGAAAUGAAGAGUGCAGUGCAUGCAGCAGGCAAAGCUGCACAAACCCCUUUUGGAAGGAGAUGGUCACUGUCACCAGCACAGGCUCCUACAUUAGCAUCCGCUGUCCUUAGGCUUGAAUCUCUCAGGAAAU